RNAcentral lists this ribosomal RNA (207 nucleotides) under uncultured bacterium. RNAcentral describes it as "partial 16S ribosomal RNA". It matches the Rfam family "Bacterial small subunit ribosomal RNA", at positions 568 to 774 of the family's 1533-position model. The record is from RNAcentral.
CGCGUAGGCGGCCGAUCAAGUCGGAGGUGAAAUCCCUCGGCUCAACUGAGGAAUUGCCUUCGAUACUGUUCGGCUUGAGUCCUGGAGAGGGUAGCGGAAUUCCCGGUGUAGCGGUGAAAUGCGUAGAGACCGGGAAGAACACCAAUGGCGAAGGCGGCUACCUGGACAGGUACUGACGCUGAAGCGCGAAAGCUAGGGGAGCAAACA